GAUGAACGCUGGCGGCGUGCCUAUACAUGCAAGUCGAGCGAACAGACGAGGAGCUUGCUCCUCUGACGUUAGCGGCGGACGGGUGAGUAACACGUGGAUAACCUACCUAUAAGACUGGGAUAACUUCGGGAAACCGGAGCUAAUACCGGAUAAUAUAUUGAACCGCAUGGUUCAAUAGUGAAAGACGGUUUUGCUGUCACUUAUAGAUGGAUCCGCGCCGCAUUAGCUAGUUGGUAAGGUAACGGCUUACCAAGGCAACGAUGCGUAGCCGACCUGAGAGGGUGAUCGGCCACACUGGAACUGGGACACGGUCCAGACUCCUACGGGAGGCAGCAGUAGGGAAUCUUCCGCAAUGGGCGAAAGCCUGACGGAGCAACGCCGCGUGAGUGAUGAAGGUCUUCGGAUCGUAAAACUCUGUUAUUAGGGAAGAACAAAUGUGUAAGUAACUAUGCACGUCUUGACGGUACCUAAUCAGAAAGCCACGGCUAACUACGUG
Molecule: ribosomal RNA, 496 nt
Filed under: uncultured bacterium
Lineage: Bacteria
Description: partial 16S ribosomal RNA
Rfam family: Bacterial small subunit ribosomal RNA
Source: RNAcentral